This 927-nucleotide ribosomal RNA is filed under the name Bacteroides pyogenes. Its description in RNAcentral is "bacterial SSU rRNA". It matches the Rfam family "Bacterial small subunit ribosomal RNA", at positions 534 to 1473 of the family's 1533-position model. The record is from RNAcentral. Lineage: Bacteria; Pseudomonadati; Bacteroidota; Bacteroidia; Bacteroidales; Bacteroidaceae.
UCAAAGGUUAUCCCGGAAUUUAUUGGGUUUAAGGGAGCGUAGGUGCGGAUAUUAAGUCAGCUGUGAAAGUUUGGGGCUCAACCUUAAAAUUGCAGUUGAUACUGGUUUCCUUGAGUACGGUACAGGUGGGCGGAAUUCGUGGUGUAGCGGUGAAAUGCUUAGAUAUCACGAAGAACUCCGAUCGCGAAGGCAGCUCACCGGGCCGGAACUGACACUGAUGCUCGAAAGUGCGGGUAUCAAACAGGAUUAGAUACCCUGGUAGUCCGCACAGUAAACGAUGAAUACUCGCUGUUUGCGAUACACAGUAAGCGGCCAAGCGAAAGCGUUAAGUAUUCCACCUGGGGAGUACGCCGGCAACGGUGAAACUCAAAGGAAUUGACGGGGGCCCGCACAAGCGGAGGAACAUGUGGUUUAAUUCGAUGAUACGCGAGGAACCUUACCCGGGCUUAAAUUGCGCUGGCUUUUACCGGAAACGGUAUUUUCUUCGGACCAGCGUGAAGGUGCUGCAUGGUUGUCGUCAGCUCGUGCCGUGAGGUGUCGGCUUAAGUGCCAUAACGAGCGCAACCCUUAUCUUUAGUUACUAACAGUUUUGCUGAGGACUCUAAAGAGACUGCCGUCGUAAGAUGCGAGGAAGGUGGGGAUGACGUCAAAUCAGCACGGCCCUUACGUCCGGGGCUACACACGUGUUACAAUGGGGAGCACAGCAGGUUGCUACACGGCGACGUGAUGCCAAUCCGUAAAACUCCUCUCAGUUCGGAUCGAAGUCUGCAACCCGACUUCGUGAAGCUGGAUUCGCUAGUAAUCGCGCAUCAGCCACGGGCGCGGUGAAUACGUUCCCGGGCCUUGUACACACCGCCCGUCAAGCCAUGAAAGCCGGGGGUACCUGAAGUACGUAACCGCGAGGAUCGUCCUAGGGUAAACCCCCUG